This 1945-nucleotide ribosomal RNA is filed under the name activated sludge metagenome. RNAcentral's name for it is "bacterial LSU rRNA". It matches the Rfam family "Bacterial large subunit ribosomal RNA", at positions 629 to 2611 of the family's 2925-position model. The record is from RNAcentral.
UAAUUUAUCGGGCAAGGUUAUGUGAUGAUAUCAAGUAGCCGAAGCGAAAGCGAGUUGUAAAAGGCGAUUUAGUCCGAUGGAUUAGACCAGAAACGAGAUGAGCUUACCAUGAGCAGGCUGAAGUUUGUCGAAAGACAAAUGGAGGGCCGCACCAGUUGGAGUUUCAAAUCCUUUGGAUGACUUGUGGUAAGAGGAGAAAUUCCAAUCGAAUCUCGAGAUAGCUGGUUCUCUCCGAAAUAACUUUAGGGUUAGCGUUCGAUAAAUAGAGUAUUGUGAGGUAAAGCACUGAAUGAGGUUGGGGCUGUUUGACGGUACCCGCUUCAAUCAAACUAAGAAUUCCGAUACUUGUUCUCGAGCAGUUAGAACGCGGGUGCUAAGAUCCGUGCUCGAAAGGGAAACAACCCAGACCGUCAGCUAAGGUCCCCAAAUCUAUGCUCAGUGGGAAACGAUGUGUAUUUGCAUAAACAACCAGGAUGUUGGCUUAGAAGCAGCCAUUCAUUUAAAGAGUGCGUAACAGCUCACUGGUCUAAGGCAGAUAUGCGCGGAAAAUAUAACGGGGCUUAAGCAUAGUACCGAAGCUACGGAAUACAUUAAUUGUAUUGGUAGGAGAGCGUUCUUAUCAGCGCUGAAGUCAAAUUGUAAGAUUUGGUGGAGCGGUAAGAAGUGAGAAUGCUGGAACGAGUAAACCAUAAGAUAGGUGAAAAUCCUAUCCACCGAAAGAGCAAGGUUUCCUACGCAACGAUUUUCGACGUAGGGUUAGUCGGUCCUAAGCCGAGGCCAAUGGCGUAGGCGAUGGACAACAGGUUAAUAUUCCUGUACUAGUAUUAUUGUUCUAGAUAGAUGACGCAUUGGGAUAGUAGUAGCGGUCUGGUGAUUAUGACCGUCUAAGUGUAAUAAGAGGCACGAGUGAAAUGUCUGGUAACAGAUAAAUUACUAUGAGUUCUAGUGACUGGAAAAGCCUAUCUAGGUAUAGAUAAUGCUAUCCGUACCGCAAACCGACACAGGUGCUCAGGUCGAGUAGACCAAGGUGUACGAGAGAACCCUUGUUAAGGAACUCGGCAAAAUAGCGGCCGUAACUUCGGGAGAAGGCCCGCCUAAAGUUAAUUCUUUAGGCCACAGCAAAAGAGUCCAAGCAACUGUUUACCAAAAACACAGGUCUCUGCUAAAGCGAAAGCUGAUGUAUAGGGACUGACGCCUGCCCAGUGCUGGAAGGUUAACAGGAGAUGUGAUUUAGCAUCGAAUCGAAGCCCCAGUGAACGGCGGCCCUAACUAUAAGGGUCCUAAGGUAGCGAAAUUCCUUGUCUGGUAAGUUCAGACCCGCACGAAUGGCGUAAUGAUUUGGACACUGUCUCAACAAGGGACUCGGUGAAAAUGCAGUAGCGGUGAAGAUGCCGUUUUCCCGCACCAAGACGGUAAGACCCCGUGAAGCUUUACUACAACUUGGCAUUGUUUUUGAUCUAUUUAUGUGUAGUAUAGGAGGAAGACAUUGAAGCAAACACGCUAGUGAUUGUGGAGUCAGCAAGUGAAAUACCUCCCUUAAAUAUAUUAAAGACUUAAUCUAUAGCCGUUAUCCGGCAUGGAGACAGUGUCUGGUGGGUAGUUUAACUGGGGCGGUUGCCUCCCAAAUAGUAACGGAGGCGUUCAAAGGUUGGCUAGCUACGGAUGGAAAUCGUAGCGAUAGUGUAAACGCAGAUGCCAGCUUGACUGUGAGGCCUACAAGCCAAGCAGGUACGAAAGUAGGAGUUAGUGACCCACUCAAUCUGAAAGUGGAAUCGUGAGAGCUCAACGGAUAAAAGUUACUCCGGGGAUAACAGGCUUAUGGCGCCCAAUAGUCCACAUAGACGGCGCCGUUUGGCACCUCGAUGUCGGCUCGUCCUAUCCUGGGGCUGUAGCAGGUCCCAAGGGUUUGGCUGUUCGCCAAUUAAAGUGGUACGCGAGCUGGGUU